CAAAACUGAGAGAAGGAAAUGAAGUAAAGAAGAAAAAACUAAGAGAAAGGAAAGAAGGAAGGAAUUAAAAGAAGGAAAUGAAGAAAAGAAUAAAAAAGAAAAUAAAUAAGAAAUCGAAGGAAGGAAGUACGAAAAAUAAACAAUAAAAGAUUAAAUAUAGUCUUUCCGUGUUGUAUUUCUUGCAAUGAUAAACAUAUUUCAAGUUGACACGAGGAGAGAAAAAUACACGAAAUAUCUAUACGGCUUAACCAUAUAUAAUUAUCGUACCCAGCAGCAAGUGUAUAUACAAGAGUCACCUUACACACCAUCAUACAUAGAUACAUACAUAGAUACAUACAUACAUUCGAACACCCUUACUCUGCUUCUUUAUAUCUCACAAGUAUUAUAUGUAUCCUCCUUUCUUUUACAAUAUAUAUACAUUACUUACACACACAUAUCGCGAGAACGUAUGUUAGAUUCGUUUUUCAAUAAAUAUAUAUAACCGUGGAAGCUGAAAUAGGUCUUGAAGGAGAUUGUUAAGGGAAAAAGAAUGGCCCUAUGCAAGAUAUUAAGAAACUAAGAUAAAUAUAUAUAAUCGUGCAAGCUGAAGAAGGUGUUGAAGGAGAUUGUUAAGGGAAAAAGAAUGGCCCUAUGCAAGAUAUUAAGAAACUAAGAUAAAUAUAUAUAAUCGUGGAAGCUGAAGAAGGUGUUGAAGGAGAUUGUUAAGGGAAAAAGAAUGGCCCUAUGCAAGAUAUUAAGAAACUAAGAUAAAUAUAUAUAAUCGUGCAAGCUGAAGAAGGUGUUGAAGGAGGUUGUUAAGGGAGGGAAAGAAAGACCCUAAGCAAACUAUACAAAAAGAUAUGGGUUGAAAGAGGAGGCUGAUAGGAAAGAUAUAGGCUAAGCAAGAUAGUACAGAAAAUAGGAAGAGAAAGGAGAUUGCUAAAGAAAGACCCUAAGCAAGACAGUAAUAGGCUAAGCAAGAUAGUACAGAAAAUAAAGAGAGAAGGUUGCAAUUUUUUUUAUAGUAAAGGAAGAAGCUCAAAGGCCAAAAAAAUAAUAAUGAGAAUAAAAAAGCCCCACAAAUUACUUCCCCUAUGAAAAACAGUUUAGUGGAGUAGCCAAAAGAGAGGUCAAUUUCAGGAGGAGAGGUGGCCCGAUACUCUCCUCCUGAAAGAGAUCAAAUCGUAUGCAGGAGGAAAUACAGACGAAGGAAGAUUGUGCAAAGGAUGAAGUAUAAGAAAGACACUAAACAAGAUAUACACAAGCUAAGAAAAUACUAACUGAUAUAUUCCAAGCUCUUCCUUACUAGAAUGUCAAUUAUUAACAACUCAAAUCCCAAUGGUAGAUUCAGAAGAUCGUGAUAAGAAUGAAGGAUAAGAAAGAGGCUAAACAAGAUAUACACAAGCUAAGGAAAUACUAACUGAUAUAUUCCAAGCUGUUCCUUAUUAAAUGUCACUAUUACCAACUCAAAUCCCAAUGGUAGAUUCAGAAGAUCGUGAUAAGAGUGAAGUAUAAGAAAGAGGCUAAACAAGAUAUACACAAGCUAAGAAAAUACUAACUGAUAUAUUCCAAGCUGUUCCUUAUUAAAUGUCUCUAUUACCAACUCAAAUCCCAAUGGUAGAUUCAGAAGAUUGUGCUAAGAAUGAAGUAUAAGAAAGACACUAAACAAGAUAUACACAAGCUAAGAAAAUACUAACUGAUAUAUUCCAAGCUCUUCCUUACUAGAUGUCAAUUAUUACCAACUCAAAUCCCAAUGGUAGAUUCAGAAGAUUGUGCUAAGAAUGAAGUAUAAGAAAGAGGCUAAACAAGAUAUACACAAGCUAAGAAAAUACUAACUGAUAUAUUCCUAGCUGUUCCUUAUUAAAUGUCACUAUUACCAACUCAAAUCCCAAUGGUAGAUUCAGAAGAUCGUGAUAAGAAUGAAGUAUAAGAAAGAGGCUAAACAAGAUAUACACAAGCUAAGAAAAUACUAACUGAUAUAUUCCAAGCUGUUCCUUACUAGAAUGUCAAUUAUUACCAACUCAAAUCCCAAUGGUAGAUUCAGAAGAUCGUGCUAAGAAUGAAGGAUAAGAAAGAGGCUAAACAAGAUAUACACAAGCUAAGAAAAUACUGACUGAUAUAUUCCAAGUUGUUCCUUAUUAAAUGUCAUUAUUACCAACUCAAAAUCCAAUGGCAGAUUCAGAACUCUACAUUAAGUCGAGGAUUGAACCGUGUCUCGCUCUCUUUAAGCAAACAUGAUUUUCUUAUUUAGUUUCUGGGUUUUUUUUCUUUCUUGCUUCGUCGGUAUUAAGAGAACCAAAUGAUCUUGUGUCUAUCUUAUUAGCCUUCGUUGAAUCACAGACACCACUUCCGACCAACUUUUCUUUGCUCAUUUGCGCCGUACUUUAACUAACAGAAAAUUACGGUAACAUGUAGAGUGUUGAAACUGAUCCAUUGAAGUGGCCCACAGAAUACUCAUAGGAACAGGAAACUAUGAAAAUAAGGGAAUAAAAACUAAGAUAUGUAGUGAAAUAUAAGAAAUUGAAGUGUGGAGGAAAAAUUCAAAAAGAUCGCAAAAUUCAGAAGUUGUGAAACGGUGAGAAAAGAGUCAAAUAAAUAUAAACCAAUUAUUACAUCAUGCCCCUCCUACAAUUUCACUAACAUCAGUCUUUCACCAACUUAAAGGAAGGAGGGCGAGAGGAAAGGAAGAGAGGGAGAGAAAAGGAAGGAGAGAGGGAAGGGAGACAAGGAGAGGGGAAAGGAUGGCAGGGAGAAGGAAGAAGACAGAGAAUGAAGGAAAGAAGAGAGGGAAGAAAGGAAAGGAAGGAAGGAAAAGAAUUAAGGACCAAGAAAAUAAAUAAAAGUAUACAAUAUUUCAACACUGCCAGGCAAUUUCCAUUAAAACUAUAUUGUUCACUGAAAAGCUUGUCACCAUUAACACAAACUCUCCUUGUAGACAAAAAAAGGGCAUGCGAAUGUUUCCACAGGAUCAAACCAACUUGCCGUGACUAGUAACAUUUUAAAACUCCCAAAAACGGAAAUUUCUCAACUCUGUUCCUGCAAAAAUUAAACAUCAGUGACUCUCCUUGACUCAUCGAACUUCAUACUCUUUAUACAUUCAACCAUUCACAUGAGCCUGUUUGAUAGAGUACACAGCUUUACAUUUUUCUGACAUAGCAAACAAUUUCACACUUUUCUGAUAUAAAACCAUAACUUCACACUCCUUCGAUAUGCCAAACAACUUUACACUUCUCUGAUAUAAACCCAUAACUUCACACACCACUGAUAACUAAAACCAACAACUUUGCACUCCUCUGAUACCCCAAACAACUUCACACUUCUUUGAUAUAACCCACAACUUCACACUCCUCUAAUAAACCAAUCCACUUCACACUCCUCUGAUACCCCAAACAGCUUCAUACUACUUCGAUAUAACCCACAACUUCACACUCUUCUGAUACACCAAACACCUUCACACUUCUUCUGCAUAACCCACAAUUUCACACUUCUUUCAGUCCAAACUCACUGAAAACCAAAGAGCUUCAAAUCAGGCAAAAAAACACCUUGAAUUACACAUGUCUAGAAUAUACUUUCCAAGCCAUACAGCCUGCUGGCACUAUAGGCUUAGAUGAAAGAACAAAAAAAGUAGUGGAAACAGCUCUAGGGCAAAAAUAAAUUAAGAUAAAUAAAUAAAAUAGAAAAAUCACAACUAGUCACUGCUCCUGUCAAAAAAAUAUGAGUAGACCGAGAGUUACAUUACAUUUGUUACUCAUGUCAUGGAAAAAAAAUGUGCCACUGUGUUUUAGUGGGUUAGGGUGACAUGCCAUGGAAGAGGAGAGCCAGGGUAAUAAAGUUUGAAUCUCAUUACCUCUACUUAAUAUCCGGAAAGCCAUUUGGUCUCAAACUCAAAGCCACAAACUUAUAAACAGCAAAGCAAGAACUAGAGAAGAAUUAACGAAGAAAAAUUACUCAACAGAUUUUCCCUCUAGAAUCACAAGGUCAUAAGCAUAAUCUCAGCCAAAAUAAAGACUUUUCCAGCGGCAUGUUCAAGUAAAUGUCCUCUUGUCUAAUGAAGGAGUGACUUAACCCAGUAGCAGCGACGGGCCAAAUUUGUGGCUUUACCGUGUACCAGCAACGGGCCAAAUUUGUGGCUUUACCAUGUACCAGCAACGGGCCAAAUUUGUGGCUUUACCGUGUACCAGCAACGGGCCAAAUUUGUGGCUUUACCGUGUACCAGCAACGGGCCAAAUUUGUGGCUUUACCGUGUACCAGCAACGGGCCAAAUUUGUGGCUUUACCGUGUACCAGCAAUGGGCCAAAUUUGUGGCUUUACCAUGUACCAGCGACGGGCCAAAUUUGUGGCUUUACCGUGUACCAGCAACGGGCCAAAUUUGUGGCUUUACCGUGUACCAGCAACGGGCCAAAUUUGCGCCACGAUAUAAACCCCAAAAAAAUAGAUGAUGCAUAAACUGAUCACAAAUUCUUUGAUAUAUAUUAUGAAAUGGUUCGUGUGAGUGAUGAUUUUUACUCAUUUUUCUCGCUUAGAGGGACCAUUAAGAAGCAUGAUCCUCGCUGCAACCGGGUUAAAGCAUUACAACCACCUAAUAUUAUCCAAAACUGCAUGAAGGCAUUAUACAUAACAAUCACUCUUAUAGCAGACAGAUUAGGUUAAGUUUGAAUAAUGUGUAGUAGUUUUCUUGCUCUUUGAAAACUGUCACUUGCAGCUUUGUCCUAUUUUUGGGUAACUCUUUUAAUAUGAGACUGAAUUGGAAUAAUGACCACAGAUUGGAGAACAUACCCCACACCACCACUGGCUGUGACCUGACUCCACACCAUAAACAGACAGACAUGGAGGAGGAGGUGAAGGAAGAGGAGGAGGAGGUGGGAGUGGAUAGGUGUGCUCAAACUCAACACACGUCAAACAGGGGUAGGUCACACAAGGCCUAUAUCACUAAGAAACAAGAAACUCAACCCUGACCUUAUGAUAUCCCAAGGUCAAAAAAGAAAUGAAUCAACAGGGAAAUUAAAGAAGGGGUGUUCAGGCUCAAUAGAUGACAGGGGUGAGUAAGCCAAUCCAUGCCCAUGCCAGCUAAGGGAUGGAGACCUCUGCACUAACACUGAGACAACAUGAGGAGGUAUAAAAAGAUGUGAAUUGACAAGACUAAACUGUAACCAUGGACAGAGGCAUAGGAGGGAGAGGAGGAGGAGGAAGAAGAAGAGGAGGAGGAGGAGGAUAGGCAGUGCUGUGUUAUGUUGAGGGCAAGGUUGAGGGUGAUAAACUCUACCCAUGAACAGAGGCAUAGAAGAGAGGAGGAGGAAGAGGAAGGGAGGUGAAGGUGGUGGAGGUUGUGACAAGCUGAAACACUAUAAAUAGACAUAUAAGCAAGACAAGGAGGAAGGAGUUAGGGAGAAGCAGUGUUAUGUGUUGUAUUGAAGUGUUGCAUUGUGUUGUAGUGGAAGUGGUAGUAGUAGCAGUAGUAGUGGUAGUUAAGAGAAGAAUGUGAGGUGUAGUGUUAAGUCUGGUAGUGAUACUGGUAGUGGUUGUAGUAGUAGUAGUAGUAGUAGAAGAGAAGUUGAGUUAGUGUAUGUGGUUUUGGUAGUAAUAGUAGUGGUGGUAGUAGUGGUAGUAGUAGUGGUGAUAAGUAUCUUGACUGGCGCUACAGUGAGAUGCUAAUAUCCGUCACGGGUAUCUGAUAAACGUAAACUCAUACAUUGAAGGCACGAUUAUAAUUAUGCUAAACAGUCCUUGGUGCCUCACUCUGACCCCCCCACACACACACACACACACACACUAGCCAUGCAUUCCUGUAGAUCAUUCAUUAAACUGUCAAUCAAUGAACAAGUUGUGGAGUGAGUGAAGCAAAUUAAGUCAAAUCCUGCAGGUCCAUCACACUGUACUCAUGCACACAAAAUUAUGGAACAGAUCUCUCCUUAACGAGGGCUAAUAUGACCCUGCGGAGCACAUCAUUCAAAAGCUAACUAGAGGCCUCGUGAAAAAUAGCGCCGAAGUACAUAACAACAGUUGUAGAAAAGCAAUAACAAUCCAAAAAUGGUGCACUCAUCCGUAAAAGCCGGGAAAGAAACGGUUAAACUCUGUCCAGUGAGAAGGUUCUAUUGACAUUCACAAUGCUCGUCAUACUACUGGAAUUUUUAUACCGACAGAUUGGUAAGCUGUGUUGCAAUGUUGAUACUGUGUGUUGUUGCCAGCAUGAUAGAACACUCGCAAUACAGCUUAAGUGACACUCAAAUUCAUCGCCAGUAUUGACCUUCACAUCUCAACCCAAUGCAAGCUCUGCCUCUCCGUCACUAAGACCUAGAACUGCACUGAACUUGGUGGGAUUGAUGCUCUGUUAUCUGCCUCCGAAACCUUGACAGUGGCACUAAAGAGAGGACAGGAAUGAGGAACAGUCAGAGCUGGAGGGAACAAGGCAGAAGGGGACGGUACAUAAUAGGAUGGCAAAUAAUAGAGAUGUAUAAGGGAGAACCAUACAAAAUAGGCUACAGGUUUCAUAUUUCCAGCUUUUUUACCCUCUUGUCAGUAAGGAGAAUAUGAAGAAUAAAAAAAACUCACUUGGCAAUUCUAGGGACUCUGGGGGCCGUAGGAAAACUAAGACAAAAAAAAAAAAAAAAAAAGCAAUGGGGCCUUCAAAACAUUUCUCCCAAAAGUUGAAAUUAACCUGUUUAGUUGCCCGCCUUGCCUAAUCUCUCGUUACACCUUAGACAGAACUCUCACAAGGCACAACAAAACACAAACUGGCAUGUACGUAAUGGGAAAGAUACUCAAUAUACUCAACAUGUUUCAAUUUCAACUCUACAGGACAUUACGAAAGAACAUACAGCAACAGGUUACCUUACUGUCCUGAAUGGCUAUAGGUCAGGGGAGAGAUGGCUGAGUCCCCUCUUAGUGCUAUGGGAUGCUAAACUCUCCUACUGUGCCUUAACCUCCUGCCCUGCGGAAACGUGUGAAUGGACGUGUCAAAAAGAAACUUAAAAAAGGGAAAUCCAUUGAUGUUAUGUGGAUUUCCCCUUGAUGCCCCUUCAUGGAUCGCAAUAAUAACAAUGAUAAUAAUAAUAAUAAUAAUAAUAAUAAUAAUAAUGACAAUAAAAUAGUUAAAAAUAAGACCGAAAAAACAUGCAAAAAAGGAAAGAAAGGAUGGAAAAGUAAUUAAGUUCAGGAUCUUUUUAAUAGUAAUGAUGAUAAGAAGCAAUGUUCAAAGAGUGUAAAAACAGAAUGGAUAUAUAAACGUGUGCUAUUUGAAUGUCUGGUAGUUGAUAUUUGUAAAUUAUGGAAGGCGCUUUACAAGUCUCACUCAUCUCACUCAGUUUCUCGUCAAGUUUCACUCACUUCGGCGUGCAUCGAAUGCUAUCUCAGACUUGCGUGUCCUUCUAGUAUUUCAUUUUUAGUUGAAUAUUUUGUAGCUUGCAAUAUUCAGAACUCUACUGUGAAUUGGUUGAUUGUUUACUAUGUUGCAUUUUUUGCCCUAAUAUUUAGCCUAAAGUGGGAAAAAAAAAAGAGAUGAUAUGAUAUGUGCGUGUGAGAGGUGCAUGUGGGUGUGUUCACUAUAAUACAAUAUCAUACAUAGGCAUAUACAUUUUUGGAAACAUAUAUAGAAAACCAAACUUUAGAAGCAGGCAAUCAUCUGUACAUAUUACACAAGAAUUACUAAAACCAGGCAUUAGUAUCACAGCAAAAUAUUGAUAUGCUGAUGGGCAACUAUAAUACAGUAUUCACACUAACUUGGCAAAUAGGCCCCUCCCCCUUAUCCUUAAAGUGAACAUCAUUGGCUAGUUUAUAAGCAGGCCACGCCCCCUCCUCCAAAUCAGCAAAUAGGCCCCUCCUCCUCCUCCUCCCUAAAGUGAACCUCAUUGGCCAGUUCAUAAGCAAGCCACGCCCCCUCCUCCAAAUCAGCAAAUAGGACCUUCCCCCUAAAGUGAACAUCAUUGGCCAGUUCAAAAGCAAGCCACACCCCCUCCUCCAAAUUGCAAAGAAGCCCCUCCCCCUUCUCCCUAAAGUGAAGCUCAUUGGCCAGUUCAUAAGCAAGCCACGCCCCCUCAUCCAACUCAGCAAAUAGGCCCCUCCCCUUUCUCCUUUACGUGAACCUCAUUGGCCAGUUCAUAAACAAGCCACGCCCCUUCCUCCAUAUUAGGCUGCAUGUGAUUGGUGGAUGCUGGGAAUGGUUAAAUCUCAUUGGUGGUCACUGGACUGGCAUAGGAAGAGCUUAUUUGCCAGGUUAGUUUGAACAGAGCAUGGUAUGUGUGUGUGUGUGUGUGUGAAAACUACUGGCCACCCAUUUUAAUCUGUAACUAGCAAUUCAAAACAUUUAUCUUUAUAGUUAUACGAGAAGUGAAAGACGGAAAAGGGAUGGAAAUGGCACCUCUAUCAGCAAUGCCUCAACAGAUUACAACUUGAGAUUUAGUAAAGGAAGGACAGCAAACUCACUUCCAAACCAUCAAACCAAACCAACUUAAACAAUAUCCAUUUCUUCAUCCUUAACAAUACGACGAAAUCCACCUCAGUACAUAACUAACUAAAGAUUCAAAGUGGGGAGACUUACUCAUUUUCUAUUCAGACCAUCAUUCCCUCAUUCAUCCACCACACACGACAAAAUCAACCUCAAUACAUAGCUAACUAAAGAUUCAAUGAUGGAUGGCUUAUUCAUUUCA
Eriocheir sinensis (Chinese mitten crab) is the source of this 8621-nucleotide long non-coding RNA. RefSeq lists it as uncharacterized. The transcript has 2 exons. The record is from RefSeq and is a predicted model, not a curated record. NCBI's taxonomy places the organism in Eukaryota, Metazoa, Arthropoda, Malacostraca, Decapoda, Varunidae.